GGCCAGCAUGGCAUAGUGGUUUAAGCGUUGGACUAUGGCUCUGGAGACCAGGGUUUGAAUCCUGGCUUGGCCA
RNAcentral lists this transfer RNA (73 nucleotides) under Phrynosoma platyrhinos (Desert horned lizard). RNAcentral's name for it is "tRNA-OTHER". Lineage: Eukaryota; Metazoa; Chordata; Lepidosauria; Squamata; Phrynosomatidae. The record is from RNAcentral.